CGGGCCUCUCGCGUCAGGAUAUGCCCAGGUGGGAUUAGCUAGUUGGUGAGGUAAGGGCUCACCAAGGCGACGAUCCCUAGCUGGUCUGAGAGGAUGAUCAGCCACACUGGAACUGAGACACGGUCCAGACUCCUACGGGAGGCAGCAGUGGGGAAUAUUGCACAAUGGGCGCAAGCCUGAUGCAGCCAUGCCGCGUGUGUGAAGAAGGCCUUCGGGUUGUAAAGCACUUUCAGUCGUGAGGAAGGUGGUAGUGUUAAUAGCACUAUCAUUUGACGUUAGCGACAGAAGAAGCACCGGCUAACUCCGUGCCAGCAGCCGCGGUAAUACGGAGGGUGCGAGCGUUAAUCGGAAUUACUGGGCGUAAAGCGCAUGCAGGUGGUUUGUUAAGUCAGAUGUGAAAGCCCGGGGCUCAACCUCGGAACUGCAUUUGAAACUGGCAGACUAGAGUACUGUAGAGGGGGGUAGAAUUUCAGGUGUAGCGGUGAAAUGCGUAGAGAUCUGAAGGAAUACCGGUGGCGAAGGCGGCCCCCUGGACAGAUACUGACACUCAGAUGCGAAAGCGUGGGGAGCAAACAGGAUUAGAUACCCUGGUAGUCCACGCUGUAAACGAUGUCUACUUGGAGGUUGUGGCCUUGAGCCGUGGCUUUCGGAGCUAACGCGUUAAGUAGACCGCCUGGGGAGUACGGUCGCAAGAUUAAAACUCAAAUGAAUUGACGGGGGCCCGCACAAGCGGUGGAGCAUGUGGUUUAAUUCGAUGCAACGCGAAGAACCUUACCUACUCUUGACAUCCAGAGAAUCUAGCGGAGACGCUGGAGUGCCUUCGGGAACUCUGAGACAGGUGCUGCAUGGCUGUCGUCAGCUCGUGUUGUGAAAUGUUGGGUUAAGUCCCGCAACGAGCGCAACCCUUAUCCUUGUUUGCCAGCGAGUAAUGUCGGGAACUCCAGGGAGACUGCCGGUGAUAAACCGGAGGAAGGUGGGGACGACGUCAAGUCAUCAUGGCCCUUACGAGUAGGGCUACACACGUGCUACAAUGGCGCAUACAGAGGGCGGCCAACUUGCGAAAGUGAGCGAAUCCCAAAAAGUGCGUCGUAGUCCGGAUUGGAGUCUGCAACUCGACUCCAUGAAGUCGGAAUCGCUAGUAAUCGUGGAUCAGAAUGCCACGGUGAAUACGUUCCCGGGCCUUGUACACACCGCCCGUCACACCAUGGGAGUGGGCUGCAAAAGAAGUGGGUAGUUUAACCUUCGGGAGGACGCUCACCACUUUGUGGUUCAUGACUGGGGUGAAGUCGUAACAAGGUAGCGCUAGGGGAACCUGGCGCUGGAUCACC
RNAcentral lists this ribosomal RNA (1328 nucleotides) under Vibrio vulnificus. Its description in RNAcentral is "bacterial SSU rRNA". It matches the Rfam family "Bacterial small subunit ribosomal RNA", at positions 207 to 1527 of the family's 1533-position model. The record is from RNAcentral. Lineage: Bacteria; Pseudomonadati; Pseudomonadota; Gammaproteobacteria; Vibrionales; Vibrionaceae.